UAAUAUAUAAAAAUUUAUAUUUAUAUUUUGAAAUUCAGAUCUGAGUAUGAUAUUUUUUUUUGAAAUUUGGUAAGGAGAAAUGAUUGCUUUCCGGUUUGAAUUUUUGGGUUCGAUUUCAGCUUUCGAGUUUUCUCUUUUUUCAGUUCGAUUUUGGUAAUGAAUUUUAAAAUUCCAAUAGGUUCAGGUGUGAUGUCUAAUUUCACUAUUU
RNAcentral lists this long non-coding RNA (208 nucleotides) under Ananas comosus (pineapple). RNAcentral's name for it is "long non-coding RNA (ACOM_LNC005994)". The record is from RNAcentral. Lineage: Eukaryota; Viridiplantae; Streptophyta; Magnoliopsida; Poales; Bromeliaceae.